RNAcentral lists this small nuclear RNA (105 nucleotides) under Carlito syrichta (Philippine tarsier). Lineage: Eukaryota; Metazoa; Chordata; Mammalia; Primates; Tarsiidae. The record is from RNAcentral.
GUGGUUGCUUUGGCAGCACAUAUACUAAAACUUGGAAUGAUACAGAGAUUAGCAUGGUCCCUGCUCAAAGGUAAUACACAAAUUCAUGAAGCAUUCCAUAUUAAA